UUUGGCGUUCAAAUUUCAUUCUCAAAAAGUUGUAGAGACAAGAACAUAAUCUAAGAUUUAGUCGAAACUCUUUGAACCAAAUUGGCUGGAACACAUUCUUAUCGUAGACGGGUUCCAUGGUUUUUGCACCGAAGAUUUGAAAAAGUGCUGCUAAAUAUAUAUAUAUAUAAGUUUAUUUUGUUGAUUUUUGAAAGUUUGUGUCUUUGCAUGUUUGGUUAACUUUGAUUCUUAACUGAUUGAAAUAGGAAGAUAGAUUUUUUCGGCUAUUAUAGUCGAAGAUAUGGGUAUUUUUGUGUGGGUUUGUUUUAUUGUUUUUCUUGUUUUUGUUGACAGUAGUCCAAGCCUUUGAAAAUGAGUGUUUGCAAUUGUUUUUUUUUUUUUGCUUUAAUGUCAUGAAGCUACCAGUGUUAUGGUGAAUGAAUGAAGGUGCUUAGGUGAACGAAGGUGUAGCAACAGGUGGUUCAUCAUCAACAUCAAGAGGUAGAGGCCAACAAAGGGGAAUUAUAAAGCAUGGAUUACCAUUCAGUAAGUCUGUCAACUAUCAAACCAAUAAUCCAAGUAAAAAGAGCAGUUGAGAUUACCGGUGACCGUGGAUUCAAGACAACAAGUUUCAAAUGGAAAGGCAAGCAAGCUAUUACUAUAGCACAGUUGCUGCGUGAGAGGUUUGGGAAGAUUAUGACAAGGGGAAGUAGCCAACAAUCACACAACAUCUGUGCAUCUAAGAAUGCCACGAGACUAGGAGGGAAGAAAGCCGGCAAUCACAAGGCAAUGUUUUCACAUAAUGACGAAAUUGUGUCAUGUUAGGAUUUAGUCAAUUUAUAUCUUUUUCGAUGGAGAAUUGUGUUUGUAGAUUUUGGAUAAGUUAUGACUUUUUCUGUCAUAUUAGAUUGUGUAAGUUGGCUUUUGAAUAAAUUAUGUCAUUUUACUUAUGUAAAUCGAAUUAAGUUUGCAAUAAUAUGUAAGUGCUUUUAGGUUUAUAAAUUGACUACAUUUAUAUGUGGUUAUUGGACAAAA
This is a long non-coding RNA of Hevea brasiliensis (rubber tree), 1014 nucleotides long. RefSeq lists it as uncharacterized. NCBI's taxonomy places the organism in Eukaryota, Viridiplantae, Streptophyta, Magnoliopsida, Malpighiales, Euphorbiaceae. The transcript has 2 exons. The record is from RefSeq and is a predicted model, not a curated record.